GACGAACGCUGGCGGCGUGCCUAAUACAUGCAAGUUGAGCGCUGAAGGUUGGUACUUGUACCAACUGGAUGAGCAGCGAACGGGUGAGUAACGCGUGGGGAAUCUGCCUUUGAGCGGGGGACAACAUUUGGAAACGAAUGCUAACACCGCAUAAAAACUUUAAACACAAGUUUUAAGUUUGAAAGAUGCAAUUGCAUCACUCAAAGAUGAUCCCGCGUUGUAUUAGCUAGUUGGUGAGGUAAAGGCUCACCAAGGCGAUGAUACAUAGCCGACCUGAGAGGGUGAUCGGCCACAUUGGGACGGAGACACGGCCCAAACUCCUACGGGAGGCAGCAGUAGGGAAUCUUCGGCAAUGGACGAAAGUCUGACCGAGCAACGCCGCGUGAGUGAAGAAGGUUUUCGGAUCGUAAAACUCUGUUGGUAGAGAAGAACGUUGGUGAGAGUGGAAAGCUCAUCAAGUGACGGUAACUACCCAGAAAGGGACGGCUAACUACGUG
This 497-nucleotide ribosomal RNA is filed under the name uncultured bacterium. Its description in RNAcentral is "partial 16S ribosomal RNA". It matches the Rfam family "Bacterial small subunit ribosomal RNA", at positions 28 to 507 of the family's 1533-position model. The record is from RNAcentral.